GACGAACGCUGGCGGCGUGCUUAACACAUGCAAGUCGAACGGAAAGGCCCUGCUUGCAGGGUACUCGAGUGGCGAACGGGUGAGUAACACGUGGGUGAUCUGCCCUGCACUUCGGGAUAAGCCUAGGAAACUGGGUCUAAUACCGGAUAGGAGCCAUUUUUAGUGUGAUGGUUGGAAAGUUUUUUCGGUGUAGGAUGAGCUCGCGGCCUAUCAGCUUGUUGGUGGGGUAAUGGCCUACCAAGGCGGCGACGGGUAGCCGGCCUGAGAGGGUGGACGGCCACAUUGGGACUGAGAGACGGCCCAGACUCCUACGGGAGGCAGCAGUGGGGAAUAUUGCACAAUGGGCGCAAGCCUGAUGCAGCGACGCCGCGUGGGGGAGGACGGCCUUCGGGUUGUAAACUCCUUUCGCUAGGGACGAAGCUUUUUGUGACGGUACCUAGAUAAGAAGCACCGGCUAACUACGUG
This 465-nucleotide ribosomal RNA is filed under the name uncultured bacterium. RNAcentral's name for it is "partial 16S ribosomal RNA". It matches the Rfam family "Bacterial small subunit ribosomal RNA", at positions 28 to 507 of the family's 1533-position model. The record is from RNAcentral.